Molecule: long non-coding RNA, 303 nt
Organism: Perca fluviatilis (European perch)
Lineage: Eukaryota; Metazoa; Chordata; Actinopteri; Perciformes; Percidae
Exons: 3
Source: RefSeq, a predicted model, not a curated record
GAGCCGGUCUCCAGGGCAGAUCUUCCGGGCGACUCGCCCUAUAAGAAAUUAGAAAAUGCUACAAUAAAACCCGAAAAACAUUUAAAAAAAAUGUGGCAACUUUAUUAAUGAAAGCUCGUGCGCUAUCCACCGUAAACACACACGCCCCUUUAGUUGGAAGUCACCGAUAGACAGCGAAGUACCUCAGAUCAUUCAUGGAAAGCCAUCUUCUAUAUUAAAAAUGCCACUGCUAGUACAACACAAGUGCCACUGAAGACCUCUGUGAUUCCCCCACCCGUUCAUGCCAGGACUGCUCCUCUCCCU